UAGCGGCAAGAGCUCAAAUUUGAAAGCUGGCUCCUUCGGAGUCCGCAUUGUAAUUUGCAGAGGAUGCUUUGGGUGCGGCCCCCGUCUAAGUGCCCUGGAACGGGCCGUCAGAGAGGGUGAGAAUCCCGUCUUGGGCGGGGUGUCCGUGCCCGUGUAAAGCUCCUUCGACGAGUCGAGUUGUUUGGGAAUGCAGCUCUAAAUGGGUGGUAAAUUUCAUCUAAAGCUAAAUACUGGCCGGAGACCGAUAGCGCACAAGUAGAGUGAUCGAAAGAUGAAAAGCACUUUGAAAAGAGAGUUAAACAGCACGUGAAAUUGUUGAAAGGGAAGCGCUUGCGACCAGACUCGCCCGCGGGGUUCAGCCGGCAUUCGUGCCGGUGUACUUCCCCGUGGGCGGGCCAGCGUCGGUUUGGGCGGCCGGUCAAAGGCCCCUGGAAUGUAGUACCCUCCGGGGUACCUUAUAGCCAGGGGUGCAAUGCGGCCAGCCUGGACCGAGGAACGCGCUUCGGCACGGACGCUGGCAUAAUGGUCGUAAACGACCCGUCUUGAA
RNAcentral lists this ribosomal RNA (547 nucleotides) under Aspergillus niger. RNAcentral describes it as "eukaryotic LSU rRNA". It matches the Rfam family "Eukaryotic large subunit ribosomal RNA", at positions 96 to 658 of the family's 3401-position model. Lineage: Eukaryota; Fungi; Ascomycota; Eurotiomycetes; Eurotiales; Aspergillaceae. The record is from RNAcentral.